GGAAUUUUGGACAAUGGGGGAAACCCUGAUCCAGCCAUCCCGCGUGUGCGAUGAAGGCCUUCGGGUUGUAAAGCACUUUUGGCAGGAAAGAAACGUCGCGGGUUAAUACCUCGCGAAACUGACGGUACCUGCAGAAUAAGCACCGGCUAACUACGUGCCAGCAGCCGCGGUAAUACGUAGGGUGCAAGCGGUAAUCGGAAUUACUGGGCGUAAAGCGUGCGCAGGCGGUUCGGAAAGAAAGAUGUGAAAUCCCAGAGCUUAACUUUGGAACUGCAUUUUUAACUACCGGGCUAGAGUGUGUCAGAGGGAGGUGGAAUUCCGCGUGUAGCAGUGAAAUGCGUAGAUAUGCGGAGGAACACCGAUGGCGAAGGCAGCCACCUGGGAUAACACUGACGCUCAUGCACGAAAGCGUGGGGAGCAAACAGGA
RNAcentral lists this unclassified non-coding RNA (427 nucleotides) under plant metagenome. RNAcentral's name for it is "partial contains 5.8S ribosomal RNA, internal transcribed spacer 2, and large subunit ribosomal RNA". It matches the Rfam family "Bacterial small subunit ribosomal RNA", at positions 358 to 777 of the family's 1533-position model. The record is from RNAcentral.